Molecule: long non-coding RNA, 457 nt
Filed under: Mytilus galloprovincialis (Mediterranean mussel)
Lineage: Eukaryota; Metazoa; Mollusca; Bivalvia; Mytilida; Mytilidae
Source: RNAcentral
GUCCGCUUCGAAGUGAAAAAGUUCAAAUAUUUCUAUUAGAAUCGAAAUAAUUCUAUCCUGCCAUGCUCUAUGCUCAUUUUAACAUGGGUAGGCAUUAUUUGGUAAACAUUUAAUACCUCGCUAACGCUCGGUAUUAAGAUAUUAACAAAUAUAAUGCCUACCCAUAUUAAAAUGAGCAUAGAGCAUGGCAGGAUAGAAUUAUUUCUUAAUCAAAAGCACAAUGGCAUGUAGUAACUAAAGAGUACGCCGCCAUCUUAACUUUCUAAAAACCAUAUAUGUCCGAUAAAUGCAACAGAAUCUAAAAUGAAAUAGCACCUUCUUAAUAAAAUAUUAUCCGAAUUUGAAGCGUACACGUAACGAAAUAAUCUUUCCCUUGAAAAUUUUCAUCCGUAUGACGUCGUGUUAUGCCAAGACGUAAAUUCGCCAAAGCCUUCAUGAAAUUUCGCGUAAUUUUAUU